RNAcentral lists this ribosomal RNA (497 nucleotides) under uncultured bacterium. Its description in RNAcentral is "partial 16S ribosomal RNA". It matches the Rfam family "Bacterial small subunit ribosomal RNA", at positions 28 to 507 of the family's 1533-position model. The record is from RNAcentral.
GAUGAACGCUGGCGGCGUGCCUAAUACAUGCAAGUCGAGCGAACAGACGAGGAGCUUGCUCCUCUGACGUUAGCGGCGGACGGGUGAGUAACACGUGGAUAACCUACCUAUAAGACUGGGAUAACUUCGGGAAACCGGAGCUAAUACCGGAUAAUAUAUUGAACCGCAUGGUUCAAUAGUGAAAGACGGUUUUGCUGUCACUUAUAGAUGGAUCCGCGCCGCAUUAGCUAGUUGGUAAGGUAACGGCUUACCAAGGCAACGAUGCGUAGCCGACCUGAGAGAGUGGUCGGCCGCACGAGAGGUGGGACGGCGACCAGGCUCCUGCGAGAGGCAGCAGUAGCGAAUGGUAGGCAGUAGGCGAAAGCCUGGCGCAACAGGGGGAAGUGAGAGGCAGAGACGUUGCGAGCGUGAUGCUGUGUUAUGGGGGAUAAACAGAUGUGGAAUGUGAUGUAGACGGCUUGACGGUAACUGGUCAGAAAGCAACGGCUAACUACGUG